Bactrocera dorsalis (oriental fruit fly) is the source of this 1654-nucleotide long non-coding RNA. RefSeq lists it as uncharacterized. The transcript is spliced from 3 exons. Lineage: Eukaryota; Metazoa; Arthropoda; Insecta; Diptera; Tephritidae. The record is from RefSeq and is a predicted model, not a curated record.
CGUCAAGUGGAGUCCGGUGUUGAGUUUCUAUUGGAAUCCAAGACUACCGACUUUUAACCGGAAAAUGGUUGCGUUGUGUUAUUUUCUUAAAAUUUAUGGAAAAGUUGUGCCAAACAUAUUGGUUAUAUAAUAUAAAAACUGUAAAACUUUAAUAUAUUAUCAAAACAAAAUCGUUUUAUUUUAAUAUACAUAUGUAUAUUGUUAAAGAUGAGAACAAUAUGAACAAAUACAUGAAAAAUUAAGUUUUUUAUUUAUGCCUCUUUUUAACUAUGGUAAAUUAAUAAAUGUUCACCACAGAAAAAUGUUACAAACAAAUAAGCAACCACGCCGAAUAGAAUGCUCAUUCACAGCCAUAUUUAUAUUUUUGCCAUCGUAACGGAGGAUUUUGCAAGACAAUUUGUUUGAAUUUAUUUCAUGGUAUAAUCCUUUACGAUGGUUUAUUUAGUUAUUUGAAUCUGGAAGAAGUAUGUGCAAAUUUCCCUUGGGACGAUAAAUAACAGAUCGGCUGGGAUUUUAUUCCAAUAAAAGUACGAAAUAACUAAACAUGGCCUCGUUAAUCUUGCUGCGUAAUGGGUCAGGUGCUGCUCCAAUUUUAUGAUUUAAGAGAUGAAAAAGCGAUACGCGAUGCUGUGAAGUACACAAAUGUAGUUAUUAAUUUAGUUGGUCGAGAAUUCGAGACAAAAUUUUAAAUUCAAUGACGUGCUCGUGGAAGGUGCACGUCGCAUUGCUAGAAUCUGCAAAGAAGCUGGAUAAACGUUUGAUUAUUUGUGCUUGAGGGUGGAAGCAACUUUUUGAAGAGCAAAUACUACGGAUGUUGCACACGCUAUUGUCAAUUGCGCUAAGGAUCCCCAUACUGCUGGUCAGGCUUAUCAAGCUGUUGGAUCAAAGCGUUACCAGUUGAGCGAAUUAAUUGACUGGUUCCAUCGUGUUAUGCGCAAAGAUGAAAAAUGGUGGGGAUACCAUCGUUAAGACAUGUGUUGCGAUCCUACCUUCUUAUUGAAAGCCAAGUUCACUGAGCUUAUCCGUGCUAGACAACCUAUCGGUGAGCUACAUACAUAUGGAACGUAUCGAUCGCGAAUGUAUUACCGCUGUCGUUUGAAUGUACAAUUAACCUCCAUGGAAGAGCGAGUACCAUGGAAAUUGCGACCAUAUCGUGCUGCGCAAUAUUAUGAUGCCGAAUUGGGAGAGUGGGAGAACCAGCUCCACCAAAACCAAUAGAAUAUCGGGAAGAACUACGUAUGUUUGCAUAAACUACUAUAAUGGCAACAACGCUACCCAAUAAACCUUUCCAUAAGCGAACGGCAAUAGAGUUAUAGAAUAAGCUUAUUGUAAUGAUUUAACAUUUAAUAAGCAUAUUUAUGAAAGGUUUAUUUAAUUAUAAAAUAAUAAUACUUUUAUAAACUUGCUUGAAAAAUGAUUCACAUAGUAACAACAUAACAAAUAUGAUUGUAAUUGACUUAGCCCUCGCUAUAGUUUUGUAGCUCUGUUGUGUACAUCAGGGAUGGGCACAUUAGCCCUCAGUGGCAUUUUGCCCGUGCGGGCACGAGUGCACAUUUUGAGGGCUAGGUGAGGGGAUCAUCGCGGGCAAACAUGAAGAGGGAAGUGAGAGCAACGUUUUACCACUCCAUAUUUACAAAUGAGAGCAACGUAUUUU